UGGGGAAUUUUGGACAAUGGGCGAAAGCCUGAUCCAGCAAUGCCGCGUGUGUGAAGAAGGCCUUCGGGUUGUAAAGCACUUUUGUCCGGAAAGAAAUCCUUGGCUCUAAUACAGUCGGGGGAUGACGGUACCGGAAGAAUAAGCACCGGCUAACUACGUGCCAGCAGCCGCGGUAAUACGUAGGGUGCAAGCGUUAAUCGGAAUUACUGGGCGUAAAGCGUGCGCAGGCGGUUUGCUAAGACCGAUGUGAAAUCCCCGGGCUCAACCUGGGAACUGCAUUGGUGACUGGCAGGCUAGAGUAUGGCAGAGGGGGGUAGAAUUCCACGUGUAGCAGCGAAAUGCGUAGAGAUGUGGAGGAAUACCGAUGGCGAAGGCAGCCCCCUGGGCCAAUACUGACGCUCAUGCACGAAAGCGUGGGGAGCAAACAGGAUUAGAUACCCUGGUAGUCCACGCCCUAAACGAUGUCAACUAGUUGUUGGGGAUUCAUCUCCUUAGUAACGUAGCUAACGCGUGAAGUUGACCGCCUGGGGAGUACGGUCGCAA
RNAcentral lists this ribosomal RNA (543 nucleotides) under uncultured bacterium. RNAcentral's name for it is "partial 16S ribosomal RNA". It matches the Rfam family "Bacterial small subunit ribosomal RNA", at positions 355 to 891 of the family's 1533-position model. The record is from RNAcentral.